CGCCUAACACAUGCAAGUCGAACGAAGUAGCAAUACUUAGUGGCAGACGGGUGAGUAACAUGUGGGUAUCUGCCCUUUGGCCUGGAAUAACACGAGGAAACUUGUGCUAAUACCGGAUAAGUCUUUACGGAGAAAGCUUUAUGCACCAUUGGAUGAGCCCGCACUUGAUUAGUUAGUUGGUAGGGUAAUGGCCUACCAAGACUGUGAUCAAUAGCUGAUUUGAGAGGAUGAUCAGCCACAUUGGGACUGAGACACGGCCCAAACUCCUACGGGAGGCAGCAGUGGGGAAUCUUGCACAAUGGAGGAAACUCUGAUGCAGCGAUGCCGCGUGAGUGAAGAAGGCCCUUGGGUUGUAAAGCUCUUUCGUCGGGGAAGAAAAUGACUGUACCCGAAUAAGAAGGUCCGGCUAACUUCGUGCCAGCAGCCGCGGUAAUACGAAGGGACCUAGCGUAGUUCGGAAUUACUGGGCUUAAAGAGUUCGUAGGUGGUUGAAAAAGUUGGUGGUGAAAUCCCAGAGCUUAACUCUGGAACUGCCAUCAAAACUUUUCAGCUAGAGUAUGAUAGAGGAAAGCAGAAUUUCUAGUGUAGAGGUGAAAUUCGUAGAUAUUAGAAAGAAUACCAAUUGCGAAGGCAGCUUUCUGGAUCAUUACUGACACUGAGGAACGAAAGCAUGGGUAGCGAAGAGGAUUAGAUACCCUCGUAGUCCAUGCCGUAAACGAUGUGUGUUAGACGUUGGAAAUUUAUUUUCAGUGUCGCAGCGAAAGCGAUAAACACACCGCCUGGGGAGUACGACCGCAGGGUUAAAACUCAAAUGAAUUGAC
This 821-nucleotide ribosomal RNA is filed under the name uncultured Alphaproteobacteria bacterium. RNAcentral's name for it is "bacterial SSU rRNA". It matches the Rfam family "Bacterial small subunit ribosomal RNA", at positions 45 to 914 of the family's 1533-position model. The record is from RNAcentral. Lineage: Bacteria; Pseudomonadati; Pseudomonadota; Alphaproteobacteria.